Molecule: non-coding RNA, 1771 nt
Organism: Lactuca sativa (garden lettuce)
Lineage: Eukaryota; Viridiplantae; Streptophyta; Magnoliopsida; Asterales; Asteraceae
Source: RefSeq, a predicted model, not a curated record
CUUUUUUGAUUUUUUUUUCUUUUUCAUUAAUUUGCUUUUAAUUUCAUAUUUUUUCCUACUUUUUACCAUGCUUGGUAAAUAGUCAAUGUCUGGAUUAUUGUCACACACGUGUUACUUUCCCGUUCUCCAUUGUUACGUGUUUGCAUCGGCUUCUUCCAGAAAAGCACCACCGCCUCUGCCUCCGAUUAAACAGCCCACCAACUUUUCCUAACCAAAUUAUGUACUCUACCAUCUGGGUUUUAUCCAAUUUGAAUAACCUCCAGCCAGUCAUCGCUUUCUUCCCCAGCAUGCCACUCAAUCACAUCCUCUGCAAACACCGGUAUUUGUAAGUUCUCUUCUUCUAUCGUCUUCUUUUCUGAAUCUACUCCAUUUGGACCUCCCUCUUCCAAUCUCCACCCCUGAUUCCCCGAUCCAGCGCUAAAAAAGAACAAUUUAAUUUUAAAAUGCCGAACUCCCAUCCCAUUGCGCAGCCACAAGAACAUAACCCGCCACAACGAAAGCGCUGGUUAUCUCCCUCGCCAUCCACUGGCUAUGGCCUAGGGUUUUCUAAUAGCAAAAGCAGACAAAGCAUCGAAUCAGGUAAAACCAACUUCAAUGAUCAUUUUUCAAAAUCGGAAUCCUCGAGCUCUUUUAUCUUUCGUUCAGUUGCGACAAAGGAGGCCGAUAAUGCCAAUGGAUAGAACUCUACUGCAAGAAAUUCAGCUGUAUCCAUGGAUCCUUUUCCAAAAUCGGAAUCCUUGAAAUCUUUUAGCUUUCCAGUUCAAAAGGUAUCAUGUUUUUAUUGUUUUUUUUAUUAGUUUCAUCGGCUUUGUCUAUAGCUGUGAUUGUCUUCAUUUUUAGGGAUUUAAUGACUCAAGUGAGAGGGUACCAUUUUUUACUAUAUUGUUUCCAGUAUCCUGCCUACAAUCUGCAAACGAAUUUUUGUUAUUCCUGCUCUUGGUAACUUUUUUUUUUUGUUUUUUUAUCUUUGUUCCUAUAGGGAAUAUGAUCGCUUGCCUCCAUCAUAACCGAAGAACAAGAUUCAGUUACACCCCAACCACUUCAUAUUGCCAUUUGAAAGAGAGUCUCACUACGCACCCCAACUGCUCGAUUAAAUGUUUGAACCAAGAUGCCUAGAAAAGAUCAGUUUUUUUCUUCCGGAAAUAUGAAAAAAAAAGGUGUGACUUAUAAUUUGAGUUGGGGCAGGGUCAUAGCUGAAAAUUUGAAGAUUAAGCUCAAACUUUUGAGUAGGAAAAGAGAAUAGUGAAAAUGGAUUGACAGAAGUUUAAAUAUGCUUGAGAGGCAGGGGUAUAACUGGAAAGUUGAAGGUCGGUAGAUGGUUAAAGAGUUUUAGAGGUAGGGGCAUAAUUAGGAAGUUGAAGGUAACGAAAGAGGAACCGACAACAAAAGACGAAGUAGACCGAUUCCAGAAGCACGUGACAAGUUAGGCUGCUUUAGACUUCUUCAUGUGCUUGAAAUCCGAUAUUUUUGUAAUGACACAUGGAGGUAAUUUUGCGAAAUUAAUAAUUGGUGCAAGAGGGUAGAUGUCAAGAGAAAUCGGAGGUGUCUUUUAUGGAAUUUCAAUCUUGGACCUUACACGGGAACAAAUUCAUUUCUGAAAUAGUUAUCUCUAGGAUUUCAUGUAUGUAAGUUUUUAGUUAUGGAAACUUAGUUAUCCAAUUUCCUUUAGGAUUCACUAUCUGUAAUUUUUGAUAUUGGUAGGUAUAGCUUUUUCAAAUGGAUACAAAUGUAAGUCUAAUUUUGCUAUGGGUAAAAAAAGGCAAAAAAAAUA